AAUCUACCCAGGCUCUACGGAAUAACUCAGGGAAACUUGUGCUAAUACCGCUAUACGAUCCGAUAGGAGAAAGAUUUAUCGGAGUUGGAUGAGCCCGCGUUGGAUUAGCUAGUUGGUGGGGUAAAGGCCUACCAAGGCGACGAUCCAUAGCUGGUCUGAGAGGAUGAUCAGCCACACUGGGACUGAGACACGGCCCAGACUCCUACGGGAGGCAGCAGUGGGGAAUAUUGGACAAUGGGCGCAAGCCUGAUCCAGCCAUGCCGCGUGAGUGAUGAAGGCCCUAGGGUUGUAAAGCUCUUU
Molecule: ribosomal RNA, 300 nt
Filed under: oxamyl-degrading bacterium 8/1
Lineage: Bacteria; Pseudomonadati; Pseudomonadota; Alphaproteobacteria; Hyphomicrobiales; Phyllobacteriaceae
Description: bacterial SSU rRNA
Rfam family: Bacterial small subunit ribosomal RNA
Source: RNAcentral